This 203-nucleotide long non-coding RNA is filed under the name Lathyrus oleraceus (garden pea). RNAcentral's name for it is "Pisum sativum (pea) long non-coding RNA (PSAT_LNC036599)". The record is from RNAcentral. Lineage: Eukaryota; Viridiplantae; Streptophyta; Magnoliopsida; Fabales; Fabaceae.
CUCACUCUUAUUUAUAAUUGAUAAGAAACAAUUUAAAAAUUAAAAUAAAAUAUAAAAAUGAAAAGUUUCUAAAAACUAGAUCUCUAUCUUUGAAAAAAUGAAAAGCUUCUAAAAACUAGACCAAAGCUAGCUAGCUUAGUAUGAAAAAAGUUGUUAAUAAAAAAAUAAAAUUAAUUAUUAUACACUGUCAGCGUAAAAAGUUU